This 483-nucleotide ribosomal RNA is filed under the name uncultured bacterium. RNAcentral's name for it is "partial 16S ribosomal RNA". It matches the Rfam family "Bacterial small subunit ribosomal RNA", at positions 30 to 507 of the family's 1533-position model. The record is from RNAcentral.
AUUGAACGCUGGCGGCAGGCCUAACACAUGCAAGUCGAGCGGAUGAAGGGAGCUUGCUCCUGGAUUCAGCGGCGGACGGGUGAGUAAUGCCUAGGAAUCUGCCUGGUAGUGGGGGAUAACGUCCGGAAACGGGCGCUAAUACCGCAUACGUCCUGAGGGAGAAAGUGGGGGAUCUUCGGACCUCACGCUAUCAGAUGAGCCUAGGUCGGAUUAGCUAGUUGGUGGGGUAAAGGCCUACCAAGGCGACGAUCCGUAACUGGUCUGAGAGGAUGAUCAGUCACACUGGAACUGAGACACGGUCCAGACUCCUACGGGAGGCAGCAGUGGGGAAUAUUGGACAAUGGGCGAAAGCCUGAUCCAGCCAUGCCGCGUGUGUGAAGAAGGUCUUCGGAUUGUAAAGCACUUUAAGUUGGGAGGAAGGCAGUAAGUUUAUACCUAGCUGUUUUGACGUUACCAACAGAAUAAGCACCGGCUAACUUCGUG